UUGGAGGGCAAGUCUGGUGCCAGCAGCCGCGGUAAUUCCAGCUCCAAUAGCGUAUAUUAAAGUUGUUGCAGUUAAAAAGCUCGUAGUUGAAUUUCGGGAUCAAUGUUUCGGUCAUGCCGUUGGUAUGUACUGAUAUUAUUGAUUUCUCACCUUCUAAAGAACCGUAAUGCCAUUAAUUUGGUGUCACGGGGAAUUAGGACUGUUACCUUGAAAAAAUUAGAGUGUUUAAAGCAGGCUCACGCUUGAAUACAUUAGCAUGGAAUAAUGAAAUAGGACAUCCGAUUCUAUUUUGUUGGUUUCUAGGAUCGAUGUAAUGAUUAAUAGGGAUAGUUGGGGGCAUUAGUAUUCAAUUGUCAGAGGUGAAAUUCUUGGAUUUAUUGAAGACUAACUACUGCGAAAGCAUUUGCCAAGGAUGUUUUCACUAAUCAAGAACGAAAGUUAGGGGAUCGAAGACGAUCAGAUACCGUCGUAGUCUUAACCAUAAACUAUGCCGACUAGGGAUCGGAUGAUGUUAAUUUUUUAAUGACUCAUUCGGCGCCUUACGGGAAAC
Molecule: ribosomal RNA, 550 nt
Filed under: uncultured Glomeromycotina
Lineage: Eukaryota; Fungi; Glomeromycota
Description: SSU rRNA
Rfam family: Eukaryotic small subunit ribosomal RNA
Source: RNAcentral